CUGCUUAACACAAGUUGAGUAGGGAAAGUUUUUCGGUGUAGGAUGAGACUAUAUAGUAUCAGCUAGUUGGUAAGGUAAUGGCUUACCAAGGCUAUGACGCUUAACUGGUCUGAGAGGAUGAUCAGUCACACUGGAACUGAGACACGGUCCAGACUCCUACGGGAGGCAGCAGUAGGGAAUAUUGCGCAAUGGGGGAAACCCUGACGCAGCAACGCCGCGUGGAGGAUGACACUUCUCGGAGCGUAAACUCCUUUUCUUAGGGAAGAAUUCUGACGGUACCUAAGGAA
RNAcentral lists this ribosomal RNA (287 nucleotides) under uncultured Campylobacter sp. RNAcentral describes it as "partial 16S ribosomal RNA". It matches the Rfam family "Bacterial small subunit ribosomal RNA", at positions 179 to 486 of the family's 1533-position model. The record is from RNAcentral. Lineage: Bacteria; Pseudomonadati; Campylobacterota; Epsilonproteobacteria; Campylobacterales; Campylobacteraceae.